ACAGGUUAAGCUGACGAGUGGCGAACGGGUGAGUAAUAUAUCGGAACGUGCCCAGUCGUGGGGGAUAACGCAGCGAAAGCUGUGCUAAUACCGCAUACGAUCUCUGGAUGAAAGCGGGGGACCUUCGGGCCUCGCGCGAUUGGAGCGGCCGAUAUCAGAUUAGCUAGUUGGCGGGGUAAAGGCCCACCAAGGCGACGAUCUGUAGCUGGUCUGAGAGGACGACCAGCCACACUGGAACUGAGACACGGUCCAGACUCCUACGGGAGGCAGCAGUGGGGAAUUUUGGACAAUGGGCGCAAGCCUGAUCCAGCAAUGCCGCGUGCAGGAUGAAGGCCUUCGGGUUGUAAACUGCUUUUGUACGGAACGAAAAGGUCUGCCCUAAUACGGUGGGCCCAUGACGGUACCGUAAGAAUAAGCACCGGCUAACUACGUGCCAGCAGCCGCGGUAACACGUAGGGUGCGAGCGUUAAUCGGAAUUACUGGGCGUAAAGCGUGCGCAGGCGGUUAUAUAAGACAGAUGUGAAAUCCCCGGGCUCAACCUGGGACCUGCAUUUGUGACUGUAUAGCUAGAGUACGGUAGAGGGGGAUGGAAUUCCGCGUG
This 601-nucleotide ribosomal RNA is filed under the name uncultured bacterium. Its description in RNAcentral is "bacterial SSU rRNA". It matches the Rfam family "Bacterial small subunit ribosomal RNA", at positions 78 to 675 of the family's 1533-position model. The record is from RNAcentral.